Long non-coding RNA from Scleropages formosus (Asian bonytongue), 2773 nucleotides. RefSeq lists it as uncharacterized. Lineage: Eukaryota; Metazoa; Chordata; Actinopteri; Osteoglossiformes; Osteoglossidae. The transcript has 4 exons. The record is from RefSeq and is a predicted model, not a curated record.
GCCCCCGUCCAGGCGCGUGUCUCGCGCUCGGAACUUCAUUUAUUAUUCUUUGAGCCCAUUAAAUUCCGCAUCCUCCCCAAGGACACGCGGAAACAGGGGGUUCCAGAGGCCUUGCAGGAUGAACCCAGUGAAGAGCGGCAGGUUUGUUGACCAAAGAGCCGGCGAAGCGUCUCCUCGAACCUCCCGAGGUACAGGUGCCAGUUCAUGUGCUACGCGCCCCGCUGAUCCUCCGACUCAGGAAGGAGCGCAACACUCGCAGAAAAGGGCUGAGUAACUAAGCAGGAGGACAAAGAGGGAGCAGAAGUGCGACGCACACACAGAAAUUUUCCACGUUUUAAAAAUGGGCCGUUCCAAAGCGGUUGGGCUGAGCUGCGGGAGCCGAGGGCAUGGCAGGCGGACUGACGGACCGAGGGACGCCGGCUCCGGCUCAGUGCUGGAACGCACUCGUGCUCUUAUCUCUACAACAUCGUAAUCACUUAACAAAGACUCCGCCAUUCGCACAAAUUAAAACAUCAAUAAUGCACGAGUGCUCUUCAGGCCCCGUCGCGGACACCCCCCUGCAUGGGGAUGAAGGACGCGCCGAAAGACGCGACGGCCCGAUGGCCCAACGCCACCACGCCCGGGCCGAACCCCCAGGGCGAGGGCUCCUACUCUGCUCCGCUGCGGCUGCAGGGCCGAGUGGGAGCGGAAGGGUUAAAUGAAAGACGGUCACUAAGCGCCUCGGAGUGACACUGCGAACAAGCCGAGCGACGGAAACAAAGACGGCAAGUGAAGCUCUCCUCCGCUGGGAAAACGCACACCGCAGUCGGCGGCUGCACACUCAGCUCCCAGAAGGGAAGCAUGCAGUUGUACCCUGAACGGCCUGAACGUCUUCGUCUAAAAAGUGUCCACUUUGUUUUAAUGGUGUUUAGCGUGUGGCGACUACUGACUCAAGGAACUUGCUGGAAAAUUAAAAAAUACAUCAACAGUAAUAAUGUCUCCUCCAGACUUCCCCCCUCAACAGUUUUCAGAUAAAUUUAAAGUUUAAUUUUAAGCAACCAAAAAUAAUAUGGUGCCCUUAAUAACUGGCAUAUACGUAAAUGAAUGUAUGUACGAAGACUAAGAUGAGCCAGAGCGGGAGACGUCAUAGAGAGGGGAUGGGAAGGGGACGAGGACACGUGACCACGUGAGACUGUGUCAUCCGGUGGGAGCCCCUGGUCCCGAGGAAGAGCGCUUCUCGCCCCGAAGCCGACAGAUGAUCCUGCCUUGGUCCUGCCAAACACCAGCCCAAGAGCGUCUUAUCGACAUGAACCUUGUAAAUUCGUGGUUUCAGUUGAAAUGGAAAAUUUCACCUAAAUUGCAACAAAUUUUUCAAUGCAAGUAAUUAUGUGAGACACUAAAAAUAUUUUAAAGAAAGAUGACAGCUUAAUGCAACGAUGCAUGUUAUACCGAAGAGCAUUUGAGAUGCAUGCAAACCAGAGAAACCCUUUUUACCGGGGUGCGGAUGAGUAACGCUUGUUAGUUACUAGAUGUCAAAUAAUGUCUUUCAUCUCUUAAGAAAAAUAAACAGCCUUCCUUUUCAAUCACGUCUUUUGAGAUGUACAAAGGAAGGGCUUUCCGAGUUUCCUUUAUUCAUUCCUCCUCGUUUCCUUUCUUUCUUUUUUCUUUCCUUUUCUUUCUUUCUUUUUCUUUCUUUCUUUCUUUCUUUCCUUUAGUUGUUGCCCUGAUGAACAAUCCCCUUGUUAGCAAACUGUUAAGACAGCAGCUUGGUACACAAAUUGCGCUCGACCAAGCGAAUUUGUUUUGCAAGGGUGACCUGUUUAAUCAUCUCAUUUUCUUUUGCGGACGUUUAUUCAUCUGGUUUCCACGGUUACGGAGAACAUUAAGGGGCUUCAGUAAUAAGGCUGGAGAGUCAAACAGGUAAUAAAAAAAUUAACGCCAUUUUCCAGUAUCCGAGGACAGGCGGCGAAAUGAAUCGGGGGGACGGGGUGGGGGGAGGGAGCAUGAGAGCGGCCCGAGAGGGGGGCUUCCAAUAUUUUCCAAACAAUUAAGACCUUGACUGGUUAUGUUACUCAGAAGGAAAGAUCAGGUGGUGGUCUUGCAGACGCCACGCGUCCAGCCUCACGGGCGCACCGGGUAUGGAGCCAGGUCUUAAAGACACACGGACCGCGGUUUACCGUGGUACGAGGACAAUUCAAAACUUACUGUGCUGCGCUCCCCUCAUCCUCAUCACCCAGUCCCCUGGCGUGUGUUAUCAUUGCCCCAAAUUUCGUAUCACUGCUCCUCCUUAUUUUGUGCCCUCCUGCGCACGAAAAAACCACUUUCGCUGGAGGUCACACGUAGGAUCUCGCCGGCAAAUCGGCGCUGCUGCGGAGCGCGAUCCAGAGAAGAGCACUUGUGCCAAACGUGUCGGAAGAUGCGGCCCGCACCCCCGCCGCUGGGAACAGCGACCUCCAGGCCAAUCGAUAGCGCUCCGCUUCUGGCCAAAUAUAGAAGAUUCCGGCACAAUGGAAGACAGGUGUCAGGGGCCUCCGAGGAAGAAGCGUGCGCUUUGCACAACUGUGCUUUUCCGCGCGAUCCCAGGGUCUCGCCAAAUAAGGGAAGAGACGCUGCAGCGGGACCGAUCACGCUCAACGGGGCGACUUGCGCCACCGAGGACACGUUUUUCUCACGCACGCGAGCGAGAGGAAAGGCAGUCGAACGUGUGCGCUGAGGUGCCUCCGCGUACAGCUUGACAGCUGCACUUUACGGCAAUGUCCCUCUCGCUUUGCCACAGCUGCGCUUUUUCCAUUGU